This is a long non-coding RNA of Daphnia carinata, 293 nucleotides long. RefSeq lists it as uncharacterized. The transcript is spliced from 3 exons. The record is from RefSeq and is a predicted model, not a curated record. NCBI's taxonomy places the organism in Eukaryota, Metazoa, Arthropoda, Branchiopoda, Diplostraca, Daphniidae.
GUUAUUACAACUAUGUAUGCAAUUUCAGUUAAUUGUAUGCCAUUUGCAUUUUAUUGAGCAGCGUGGCUGGAGAAAACUGCGUGGCUGGAGGAGCAAUUGAAAAAUGGAUAAGAUAUUAAAACAAAAAAGUGAUCAAAUUAUGAAGCUGCAGGCCCAGUUAUUGGAACAACACAAAAUAUUAGAUAACAACAAAGCUAAGGAUGCUCAAAUUUUGAGUCUACAGGCUCAGCUAGGGGAAAAGAACAAGUUAGAACGGGACACUUCCAACGAGUUCAACAUAAAACAUGGAUUAG